AGAAGGUGUAGCAAUACACUUGUAAAGCGGGCAAACGGGUGAGGAAUGCAUGGGUAACCUACCCUCGAGUGGGGAAUAACUAGCCGAAAGGUUAGCUAAUACCGCAUACGUUUCCGGAACUUCGGUUUCGGAAAGAAAGCAAUACCGUGGGUAUUGCGCUCCUGGAUGGGCUCAUGUCCUAUCAGCUUGUUGGUGAGGUAACGGCUCACCAAGGCUUCGACGGGUAGCUGGUCUGAGAGGACGAUCAGCCACACUGGCACUGCGACACGGGCCAGACUCCUACGGGAGGCAGCAGUAAGGAAUAUUGCGCAAUGGACGAAAGUCUGACGCAGCGACGCCGCGUGGGGGAUGAAGGUCUUCGGAUUGUAAACCCCUUUCGGGAGGGAAGAUGGAGUGGGUAACCACUUGGACGGUACCUCCAGAAGCAGCCACGGCUAACUUCGUG
This 445-nucleotide ribosomal RNA is filed under the name uncultured bacterium. Its description in RNAcentral is "bacterial SSU rRNA". It matches the Rfam family "Bacterial small subunit ribosomal RNA", at positions 69 to 507 of the family's 1533-position model. The record is from RNAcentral.